UUAAUGUUUUAUCAAAAGUCACAAACUUAGGGUUUAUAGUUAAAGAGUGGGGUUUAGGAUUUAGGGUUUAGGGUUUAGGGUUUAGAGUUUAGGGUUUAGGGUUUAGAUUUUAGGGUUUAGGGUUUAGAUUUUAGGGUUUAGGGUUUAGAGUUUAGGGUUUAGGGUUUAUGGUUUAGGGUUUAGGGUUUAGGGUUUAGGGUUUAGAGUUUAGGGUUUAGGGUUUAGAGUUGAGGGUUUAGGGUUUAGAGUUGAGAAAUGAGGUUUUGGGGAUAAGAUUUCAAAUUUUGAAAAAUAAAAAAAAUUAAAAUUUUCAAAGGAUAAACUUAGAAAGGUGCUAUUUUGGUCAUUUUAGUUUUUGAGUGCUAUUUUUGUGAUAUAAACUUAGAAAUGUGCUAUUUUGGAGAUUUGCCCAAAAACAAAUUCAAAAUAAUUCGAAAAAAUAUUCAUGAAGUAGCAAUUUACAAAAGUUUGAUCAAAUUUUGUAAGUCGGUGUAUAUAUAUUUUCUUAUCCAAGUAACUUUUAAAAUUCACAAACUCUACACAAUUUUAUCCCCCAAUAACCUCCAUCUUUAUAGUAGACUUAUUACUCACUCUAAUCAUGCUUUCUUGCUCACUUACACCUAGUCUCUAGACCAAUCUUUACAGCCA
This 648-nucleotide long non-coding RNA is filed under the name Brassica napus (rape). Its description in RNAcentral is "long non-coding RNA (BNAP_LNC016019)". Lineage: Eukaryota; Viridiplantae; Streptophyta; Magnoliopsida; Brassicales; Brassicaceae. The record is from RNAcentral.